RNAcentral lists this ribosomal RNA (497 nucleotides) under uncultured bacterium. RNAcentral describes it as "partial 16S ribosomal RNA". It matches the Rfam family "Bacterial small subunit ribosomal RNA", at positions 28 to 507 of the family's 1533-position model. The record is from RNAcentral.
GAUGAACGCUGGCGGCGUGCCUAAUACAUGCAAGUCGAGCGAACGGACGAGAAGCUUGCUUCUCUGAUGUUAGCGGCGGACGGGUGAGUAACACGUGGAUAGCCUACCUAUAAGACUGGGAUAACUUCGGGAAACCGGAGCUAAUACCGGAUAAUAUUUUGAACCGCAUGGUUCAAAAGUGAAAGACGGUCUUGCUGUCACUUAUAGAUGGAUCCGCGCUGCAUUAGCUAGUUGGUAAGGUAACGGCUUACCAAGGCAACGAUGCAUAGCCGACCUGAGAGGGUGAUCGGCCACACUAGAACUGAGACACGGUCCAGACUCCUACGGGAGGCAGCAGUAGGGAAUCUUCCGCAAUGGGCGAAAGCCUGACGGAGCAACGCCGCGUGAGUGAUGAAGGUCUUCGGAUCGUAAAACUCUGUUAUUAGGGAAGAACAUAUGUGUAAGUAACUGUGCACAUCUUGACGGUACCUAAUCAGAAAGCCACGGCUAACUACGUG